Molecule: non-coding RNA, 148 nt
Organism: Pan troglodytes (chimpanzee)
Lineage: Eukaryota; Metazoa; Chordata; Mammalia; Primates; Hominidae
Rfam family: Metazoan signal recognition particle RNA
About the family: The signal recognition particle (SRP) is a universally conserved ribonucleoprotein.
Source: Rfam
GCUGGGUGUGGUGGCGGGCGCCUGUAAUCCCAACUACUGGGGAGGCUGAGGCAUGAGAAUCGCUUGAACCCAGGGGGUGGGGGUUGCAGUGAGCCAAGAUUGGGCCACUGCACUCCAGCCUGGGUGACAGAGUGAGACUCUGUUUCAA